Molecule: long non-coding RNA, 257 nt
Filed under: Setaria viridis
Lineage: Eukaryota; Viridiplantae; Streptophyta; Magnoliopsida; Poales; Poaceae
Description: long non-coding RNA (SVIR_LNC000417)
Source: RNAcentral
GUGAGAGUCAAAGGUGAAUAGUGGAAAACGAAGGGGUUAACAAAAGUAAAGUUUAGGAGGUUAUCCAAACUUUCCUCGUAGAUUAGAUUAGGGUAGUAAUUUGGACUUUUUCCUUUCAGAAAAUACAUAUUGGUACCAGAUUGCGGUAUUCAUGAUGUAGAUGCGGGAGGAGCUCAUUAUAGACUAUUUUUCUCUAAAUAUCCAUCCUUCUUGUGUGGCAAUAUGACGGAGGUGAAAGUACAAAUCAUAUCAUUGGC